UACGGAGGGUGCGAGCGUUAUUCGGAAUUACUGGGCGUAAAGCGCGUGUAGGCGGGGAUGCAAGUCUGAUGUGAAAGCCCUGGGCUUAACCUGGGAAGUGCAUUGGAAACUGCAUUUCUUGAGUACUGGAGAGGAAGGGGGAAUUCCCGGUGUAGAGGUGAAAUUCGUAGAGAUCGGGAGGAAUACCAGUGGCGAAGGCGACCACCUGGACUGAUACUGACACUGAGGUGCGAAAGCGUGGGGAGCAAACAGG
RNAcentral lists this ribosomal RNA (253 nucleotides) under uncultured prokaryote. RNAcentral describes it as "partial 16S ribosomal RNA". It matches the Rfam family "Bacterial small subunit ribosomal RNA", at positions 524 to 776 of the family's 1533-position model. The record is from RNAcentral.